AUUUAAUUAUUAACACGAAUAUUAAAUAAAAACUCAAAUAAGUGAAGUAAAUUUAAAGCAUGUUGAUUUGAAUAUCACAUAUUAAAAAUAAAAAUAAACUAUUUCAAUAAUUACAUUAAAAUAAAGUUUUUCUUAUUUUCGUCACAUUAAUUUUUUAAAUUCAAUAAUUUUAAUUAAAAUAAUUGUUUAAAUUAAUCACUUUCAUUCAAAUUACUGUUAAUCACUAACGGAUUGUUAACUCAGCAAUUCAUCUAAUUUUUUAAAAAUAUUCAAUAAUAUUUCUUCUUUUUUUUCUCUCUCUCACGUUGACUACCACCAUUGACUAAAAUAAAGAAAAGAAAAAAUUGGAUAUUAUACUCUCUACCAUCUUCUUCCUCGUAUCAUUACCGCCUUUGUUUCUCUUGCUGAUCUUCUCAUUCCUCGCCAUCAAAGUCGUCGCCGGAAAAUAGAUCAACGAUCCCGAUUACCCGCCGGUGGAGGGCUCCCUUUUCAAUCAGCUUUUAUAUCUAAACUAUCUCUACGACUACCAAGCAGAAGCAGCUAAAGAACGAUCAACUUACAGGCUACUGGUUUUAGAACAGAGUAAAUACUUCAUCUUUCAAAUGCUCAACCUUAAACUCACAAACUUUUAACAGGUUUUGUAGAGGAAGACAAUCCUUAUUCCACAGAAGGUCAGAAAGGAACAUAUUAUUUCGAGUUCGCUAAGCCACUGAGAACCAUGGAUCAUUUACAACAGGAUGUUCAGUUCACAAUUGAUGGAUCGAGCAAGAUGUAAUCGAUGGGUCGGGUCUGGAUAUUAUACCAUCAACUGUGAGUGGGUUCCAUUGGAUAUUGCUUCAGGUGGUUCUAUGUUAAUCGAGUCUGCAUCAAGUACUGCCUGGGACACGGCCAGCGCCUUCGCUGGUAGCCCGUAAGUUGCCAGUUCUUUGGGUGCUUCCGCGUGGUAGUUGUAAAGAUAGUUUAGAUAUAAAAGCUGAUAGAAAACGGAGCCCUUCACCUGCGGGUAAUCGGGAUCGUUUUACGGCGACGGUUUUGAUGGCGAGGAAUGAGAAGAUCAACAAGAGAAACAAUGGCGGCAAUGAUAUGAGGAAGAAGAUGUUAGAGAGUACAAUAUCCAUUUUUUCUUUCUUUUGCAAGUGGUGGUAGUCAACGGAAGAGAGAGAGAAAGAAGACAUAUUAUUUAAUAUUUAAAAAAAUCAACAAUACUAACGGUAAUUUUGUCGAUUCCUAUAACUAUUGGGAUUAAAUUGAGAAAAAUAUUAGAGUGAUUAAAAUAAGGAAAAUUUUAUUUUAGAGUGUUUAUUGGUGUAAUUUAUUCCAAAAUUUAUUCCAAAAUAAUAAUUAUCUUAAAUUUUAAUAA
This is a long non-coding RNA of Gossypium arboreum, 1360 nucleotides long. RefSeq lists it as uncharacterized. The transcript is spliced from 2 exons. The record is from RefSeq and is a predicted model, not a curated record. NCBI's taxonomy places the organism in Eukaryota, Viridiplantae, Streptophyta, Magnoliopsida, Malvales, Malvaceae.